CCUACGGGGGCCAGCAGUGAGGAAUAUUGGUCAAUGGUCGGGAGCCUGAACCAGCCAAGCCGCGUAAGGGAGGAAGGUACAGAGAAUCGUAAACCUCUUUUGUCAGGGAACAAAGGCGGGGACGUGUCCCCGGAUGAGUGUACCUGAAGAAAAAGCAUCGGCUAACUCCGUGCCAGCAGCCGCGGUAAUACGGAGGAGGGGAGCGUUAUCCGGAUUUAUUGGGUUUAAAGGGGG
RNAcentral lists this ribosomal RNA (234 nucleotides) under uncultured bacterium. RNAcentral describes it as "partial 16S ribosomal RNA". It matches the Rfam family "Bacterial small subunit ribosomal RNA", at positions 338 to 569 of the family's 1533-position model. The record is from RNAcentral.